AUACGUAGGGGGCGAGCGUUGUCCGGAAUGAUUGGGCGUAAAGGGCGCGUAGGCGGCCCGGUAAGUCUGGAGUGAAAGUCCUGUUUUUGAGAUGGGAAUUGCUUUGGAUACGGUCGGGCUUGAGGGCAGUAGAGGUAAGUGGAAUUCCCGGUGUAGCGGUGAAAUGCGUAGAGAUUGGGAGGAACACCAGUGGCGAAGGCGACUUACUGGACUGUAACUGACGCUGAGGCGCGAAAGUGUGGGGAGCAAACAGGAUUAGAUACCCUGGUAGUCCACACUGUAAACGAUGAAUGCUAGGUGUAGGGGGUAUCGACCCCUUCUGUGCCGCAGUCAACACAAUAAGCAUUCCGCCUGGGGAGUACGGCCGCAAGGUUGAAACUUAAAGGAAUUGACGGGG
RNAcentral lists this ribosomal RNA (397 nucleotides) under uncultured bacterium. Its description in RNAcentral is "partial 16S ribosomal RNA". It matches the Rfam family "Bacterial small subunit ribosomal RNA", at positions 523 to 918 of the family's 1533-position model. The record is from RNAcentral.